AGUAACGCGUGAGGAACCUGCCUUCCAGAGGGGGACAACAGUUGGAAACGACUGCUAAUACCGCAUGAUGCGUUGGAGCCGCAUGACUCCGACGUCAAAGAUUUAUCGCUGGAAGAUGGCCUCGCGUCUGAUUAGCUGGUUGGUGAGGUAACGGCCCACCAAGGCGACGAUCAGUAGCCGGACUGAGAGGUUGGCCGGCCACAUUGGGACUGAGAUACGGCCCAGACUCCUACGGGAGGCAGCAG
RNAcentral lists this ribosomal RNA (245 nucleotides) under uncultured bacterium. RNAcentral's name for it is "partial 16S ribosomal RNA". It matches the Rfam family "Bacterial small subunit ribosomal RNA", at positions 109 to 354 of the family's 1533-position model. The record is from RNAcentral.